RNAcentral lists this ribosomal RNA (626 nucleotides) under uncultured Enterobacteriaceae bacterium. RNAcentral's name for it is "bacterial SSU rRNA". It matches the Rfam family "Bacterial small subunit ribosomal RNA", at positions 1 to 642 of the family's 1533-position model. The record is from RNAcentral. Lineage: Bacteria; Pseudomonadati; Pseudomonadota; Gammaproteobacteria; Enterobacterales; Enterobacteriaceae.
UCGGCUUAGAGUUUGAUCAUGGCUCAGAUUGAACGCUGGCGGCAGGCUUAACACAUGCAAGUCGAACGGUAGAAGAGCUUGCUCUUGACGAGUGGCGGACGGGUGAGUAAUGUAUGGGGAUCUGCCAAAUGGAAGGGGACAACAGUUGGAAACGACUGCUAAUACCGUAUAAAGUCGCGAGACCAAAGUGUUUCGACAUGCCAUUUGAUGAACCCAUAUGGGAUUAGCUAGUAGGUAGGGUAAAGGCCUACCUAGGCGACGAUCUCUAGCUGGUCUGAGAGGAUGACCAGCCACACUGGAACUGAGACACGGUCCAGACUCCUACGGGAGGCAGCAGUGGGGAAUAUUGCACAAUGGGGGGAACCCUGAUGCAGCCAUGCCGCGUGUAUGAAGAAGGCCUUAGGGUUGUAAAGUACUUUCGGUAGUGAGGAAGGUAACUAUUAACAUAGUUAAUUGACGUUAAUUACAGAAGAAGCACCGGCUAACUCCGUGCCAGCAGCCGCGGUAAUACGGAGGGUGCGAGCGUUAAUCGGAAUGACUGGGCGUAAAGGGCAUGUAGGCGGAUAAUUAAGUUAGGUGUGAAAGCCCCGGGCUCAACCUGGGAAUUGCACUUAAAACUGGUAUCU